Aphis gossypii (cotton aphid) is the source of this 1324-nucleotide long non-coding RNA. RefSeq lists it as uncharacterized. The transcript has 5 exons. Lineage: Eukaryota; Metazoa; Arthropoda; Insecta; Hemiptera; Aphididae. The record is from RefSeq and is a predicted model, not a curated record.
ACGACACUACCGCGUACGUAUAUGUAUAUGUAUAAUAAUAAUGCGUGUACGUGGCGCGCGCGACCACCGCCGGCCCACUGCACCGCCCGCCCGCCACCACACGGCCACCGCGCCGUAAACCUCGCUCGCCCCGCGACCCCCGUCGACCGUUCUUCGCGUGCGGCCGGGGUUUUUAUCCCGCAAAACGCGUGCGGCCGCCGCCACCGCACCGCGCGCGGCCGUGCGAUUACCACCGUUGGACGGCGGUGGCGCGCGGGGGAUUUUGAUUGACCGUACCGCGCCCGCUCGUCGUCGCGGCGGCGGCGCGGUCGAGGGUAGGACGGCGGCGGCGGCGGGGGACCGGCGGUACCGUCGCCGCCGCCGCCGUAACGGCACACGCAUCACUCCCACCACGGGCCGGGCGCGGCGGUUUGCGGCCAACCCGUCGACUAAAAAAUGCCCCGCGACCCGACGAGCUUCGGCGCGGAAAGAAAUCGCGCCGGCCGGGGGACGGGCCACCGGCGCGCGGUGACCGCCCAGUUGUGCCGGCGCCCGCGUGCGCGCGAUCGGCGCUCGCGUGUGUGUGUGUGUGAGUGUGUGCGAUUGACUCGGAGGUGACUUGUGCGCGAAUAAUAAUAAUAACUUCGUUUAAAACUUACUGUCGUCGUCGAUAUUAUGACCCUGCCUUGCGGGGCAAGGGUUAACUCGUCACUUGAAAUAUUUUGGUAUUAUGACUUUUCUUCGACGGUGACUCGAGUUCUUAAAACGACGAUAUUAUACUCGAUUAUCGUAUAUUCAGUGUUUUUUUUUCACGUUGACUACGAUUUAUGACUUUAUAAUACGUUAUUGUAUUAAUAUCUUCGAGGAAAUCGACUCGAAAGCUCAAAUACGUUCCUGCGAUAGUGUAGUUUUACACUCGAUUUACAGAAAAUAAACAGAAUAAAAGAAGUCAUUCUGCAGCAGGCAGCACACAACACGCGGUUUAUUGAAAUAUAAAAUAUUAGGUCUUGUCCACAAUAUACUCGAUGUAGAAAAAAACAAGGUAUACGCCGCACAUUGGCUGCUCAUAAUUAAUUGUAUGCAUCCACCUGAAACCGGAUUGUCCUGUCAGUCGAUCACAUAUAUUUAAACAUGCACAUAUGCAUUUAAAUAAACCGUUUGACGGUUUGGAUAUUGCCAGCGCCUAAACGUCCUAAACACUAGACAGUAGACACGUUAAAAAUUUUUCAACCAUGAUAACCAAAGUGCUUUAGGAAAUACUGCAGUUCAAAUAUCAAUAUUGUAUUCAGGCCGAUACAGGCUCUCUGACAUUUUUGUUUUUAUGGGACGCUACACACGUAUUAUA